CCUACGGGAGGCAGCAGUGGGGAAUAUUGGGCAAUGGGCGCAAGCCUGACCCAGCAACGCCGCGUGAAGGAAGAAGGCUUUCGGGUUGUAAACUUCUUUUGACAGGGAAGAGUAGAAGACGGUACCCUGAAAACAAGCCACGGCUAACUACGUGCCAGCAGCCGCGGUAAUACGUAGGUGGCAAGCGUGGUCCGGAUUUACUGGGUGUAAAGGGCGUGUAGCCGGGAGGGCAAGUCAGAUGUGAAAUCUGGAGGCUUAACCUCCGAAUUGCAUUUGAAACUGUUUUGCUUGAGUACUGGAGAGGCAGACGGAAUUCCUUGUGUAGCGGUGAAAUGCGUAGAUAUAAGGAGGAACACCAGUGGCGAAGGCGGUCUGCUGGACAGAAACUGACGGUGAGGCGCGAAAGCGUGGGGAGCAAACAGGAUUAGAUACCCGAGUAGUC
This 442-nucleotide ribosomal RNA is filed under the name uncultured bacterium. RNAcentral describes it as "partial 16S ribosomal RNA". It matches the Rfam family "Bacterial small subunit ribosomal RNA", at positions 338 to 795 of the family's 1533-position model. The record is from RNAcentral.